Molecule: ribosomal RNA, 1146 nt
Filed under: Triticum aestivum (bread wheat)
Lineage: Eukaryota; Viridiplantae; Streptophyta; Magnoliopsida; Poales; Poaceae
Description: partial small subunit ribosomal RNA
Source: RNAcentral
AUGGCGUCGGGAGAAGCGGCCAUGCAGACCUUCGUGCUGAGGGUGACCAUCCACUGCCAUGGCUGCAAGAAGAAGGUCCGGAAGGUGCUCAAGAGCAUCGAAGGUACUAGCGCCACCCUCCUCCUUCUCCUCGCGCCGCUGCAUUUUCGUGUGGCUUUCGGCUUAAUUGACUACCUAACUAAGUGGUCGUCGUUUUGGUUGGGAUGUUCAGGCGUGCAGGACGUGAAGGUAGACGCCCAGCUGCACAAGGUGAUGGUGACGGGCACCGUGGACGCCGAGACGCUCAUCAAGAGGCUGCACAAGUCAGGCAAGCAGGCCCUGCCAUGGCAACACACGCCUGCCAAGAAUCCCGACCCUGCGCCGCCAACCCCAGCCGACGCCCCCGCGCCGGCCGAGGACGGCAGCAAGGAUGCCGCUGUAGCGGACAAGAAGCCGGCGGAGGAGCCGCAGGCCGACAGCUCGGACAAGAGGCCGGAGCAGGAGACGGCCUCGGAGAAGAAGAAGCCUGAGACGGAGAAGGAAGCAGAAUCUGAGAAGAAGGCUGGCAAGGAGGAGGAGGCGAAACCAAGGUCAAGCGACGAGGAAAAGAAAGACGGCGGCGAGGGCGCGGCGGCCGAGCCCAAAGCAGAGGGCACCGAGCCCGCGAGUGAACCCGCUGCCGCCGCAAAGGAGGCCGGCGAUGAUGAGGGCGAGGCGAAGAAGAAACAGAGCAAGCCCAAGGACGCCGAUAGGUCCCUGUCCCCAGCGCCGGCGCCGGCCCAUGUGCCGAGGUACGCGCACCAGGAAUUCAACGCGCCGCAGCCGGUGAUGAGCUACAACAUGGCGCAGCCGAGGGCGAGCGUGUCCCACUACGCGCCGCAGCCGGAGCGGGGCUACUCGCAGCAGCAGGCCGGGUACUCCUCCUACUCCAUGAUGCAGCACCCACCGGCACCGGCGCAGCAGGCCUACUCCCAGCAGGCGCAGCCAAUGCAGCAAUGGUCGCCGUCGUACCUCUACAUGCCGUACCCGCACGCGUCGCCGGAGUCCUACUACCAGGACUACUAUAGCCCGCCCGGGACGCACGCGUCGCCGCCGCCCCCGCCGCCGCUCCACGACUCGUACCGCCUGUUCGACGACGAGAACCCCAACUCGUGCAGCGUCAUGUGA